Paramormyrops kingsleyae is the source of this 1556-nucleotide long non-coding RNA. RefSeq lists it as uncharacterized. The record is from RefSeq and is a predicted model, not a curated record. NCBI's taxonomy places the organism in Eukaryota, Metazoa, Chordata, Actinopteri, Osteoglossiformes, Mormyridae.
CGCAACGACGCUACAAAGUGUUCCAAAUGACGUGGAUAAAGCUGGGUUAGGUAGUUUAGAAGAAACAAAAGAUUUUGUGGAGAGACUGUAGGGGUGAUCUAGAUCUGAUUAAAUUUUGAGACUGAUCCCCUUGAAACUAAAGCAACGCUGCUUAGUGGCAGCAAAGAGAAGGAUGAAAGCAGAUGGCAUUUGACCUUGUGAAUGUGAGAGACUGCCCCAAAAUGAAGCAGCAGCGCUGUGUGGCAGGAAAGGAAGGAAACAGCAGAUGUAAAACACAUGGGUCUUUUUCAGGCACUUUGCAGAGGUGACAAACUGGAAGUGAUCAAAUUAUGAGACAAACCACAUUAAGAUUAAAGCAGUGCUGCUUUAUGACAGCAAAGAGAAAGAUCAACCAAUGAGGCUUAACCUUGUGAAUAGAAUAACUAUUAAAGUUAUUACUCCAUUUAUUCUGAUCUUUGAUGGAUCUUGGUACCACUUCACAAAAACAUAUGGAUGAAAAUCUACACCUGAAAAUCUUCCCCCCAAAUCCGCCCAAAUUUGGAACUGCAUGACAGAGGGCAGCCGAAAACAGAGCCUGCAGCCGUCAUCUUGUAAACUGCCAUAUAAACAUUCUGUGGAUCUUUGUGCAAAUGUUCCAGGGACAUUGUACAGCUCAGUAAUUCUGAAAUUGUGGGGAACAAGAUGAUUUUCUGAUUAUUCAUUAAUACAGUCUAUAUAUAUUUUUUGUUUCUGGCCAGUCUGCAGAUUUUAUUGGUGGGAGACUGGUAGCCAGUUGGCAAAAUUUGUUGUGGGUGAAUUGAAUUGUGUCACGUAUUUUUGGAGAGUUGGUGAGAAUGUGUAAGGUAGGCUUGUAAUAAUAAUGUUUUUAGCCAAUGUGGCACCCUAGGUGAGCAUCACCGCUGGCUCCUCCCGUCUGGGGCAAAGUGAAAUUCACAAGUCGGCUUCCCCUCAGACGUUGGUGUCCUAGGCGGCCGCCAUUGUCACCUAUAGAUUGAGCAGCCCUGUUUAUUUUGUUAUACAACAGUAUAUGUAUUGUAGGCGAACAUCUUACCCAGCUAAAUGUACCUGUAGGGGAAUUUAAUCAUAUCACUUAGCCGUAGUACAUGUCAGUGGUGACAGAUAGACACAGAUGUGCUGAAUCUACUUGCAUCAAACCAGGUUACUCCAAGGGCACCAGAUAAAUAGCACCCCACCCCAGCAAAUUUUACUGUCGUGUGUAUCAGACAGGAAGGGGUUGGCCUACCUUAUUUCUUAGAAUCAGAAGUGGCAACCUUAGUGAGAUUUGAUAGCUUGAUUAAUGAAGGAAUGUGUCUACAGUUAGCCAGACACAAUGACAUGGUAAGAAAAAUCUAUGAAAUUCUGAAAAGGCUGAUUAAUGUGACUUCAUUAUUGGGUAGCUGGCAUUUAGGGGACCUAAUGAAAGUGAAAACUCAGACAGCAAAGGAAACUAUGGAUGUACAUUCCUGCUAUGACGGUGAUGAUGAUGAUGAAAACCCUUUAUUGCUGUUGCAAUAUACCAUGUCACUAGUCACAAGUACCAGCGAAAAAACUGGCCA